CCAAAAGAGAUUGUUUUCAGGAAGAGAGGAGCUAAACUUUCACGGUUUUGCGUAUAGGCAACCAACCUGGAAUGGAGCCUGGAAAAUAUAGUCAUUGGCUUUUUCAUUUUUGAUUAUGUACUACCCCUUCAUCUGCUCGUUGGCCCCUUGACGAAGAGCAGAACUCGGGUUUAUUUUUCAUGUCCCAGCCAGGGCAGCCUAGUCUCAUGGAAACUGGAUCCUUACAGAAGAAAAACAUAGAGGGUUUUUUCUUUGCCAUUUACCUUGCUGGAGAAGAAGAACUGAAGGGCUGGAAGUGAGUUAAAAGCCCUUUCAGAUAAACUUGAGCCACAUUCCAGAUGUGUCAUAAACUCCUCCCUGCUAUCCUGCUCCUUUGAAGCUCCUUGCAAUAAGCAGACUGUUACCAUGCGGUGUAGAAACCACAUUCGGAUUUUCUGCACAGCCUGCUGAAGCACUGCCAGUUGUGACCCAAGUCCUGGCUCUGAUGGCUCCCCUUCCCCUCCUACUCAGCCAGUGUGGGAUGGGGGUCCCUGGCCUUUCCCUUCCCCUUGCGGAGCUCUAAGUGUACAUUAGGAGGAUGUGUGGGAGGGAAGUUUCUCCUUGAAAACAAGGAGAUAAUUUGUUCUCUGUAUGGAAGGGACAUCAGUUCUAUGUAUGGACUACUGAAAGCAUCAGAAACCAUCCAGUCCUGGCAUCUGGGAGCACUGGUCCUGGUCCAGUAUCUGAGCAUGUUGAGUGAGUAAUUGAUGGGAGCAGAAUCUACAGCAAGUGGAUUUACAGCAAGUCUACUGCAACACUGGGACAUUCUUAGGGGCUGCAGCUGCCUUGUUUGUUCAGUCAUUCCUGCAAAUAAACAGGCAAUUUCAGUUCAGCCUUUCUUGUGGUAAAGAUGGUGGAGGAAGAGACAACACGGAGAAGAAAAGGGAAAAAUACUUUGGACUCUGCUUAGCUCUGACUUCUGGAGAUGAGAUACAUUGCAGGAUCGGUCACUGAGCUGACUGCUGCCUGACAGUAGUUGGAAGUGUGUUUUAGUGGCCCUCGGAGGUGGAAAGUGGGGCUGUUCUUCCUCCAGUGGAGCAGAGUGGGUGAGAAGCAGCAUCUCUGGCUCAUGCGUCAAGGGGCUGGUGGUGGCCUGGAGAAGACACCAAUUCACCAGCAAUGUGGAGGUGGAAGCAUGGGAGGAUUCCCAGGAGCUGGAGGUAGGAGUUGAUAGCCUGUGCUUCAUGGACCUCCCAGUGGUCAAAUGAAGGCUUUGAGCACUGAGGACGCUCGGAGAUCUGCGUUCCUGGAGACACCACAUUAUUCCAGCCUGUUUCACAUGGGAUUUUUCCUGUUUGCAUCAUUUUCCGCUUGACUGCCAGUGAAAGCAAUAUAUGGGUUUGAUAUUAGCAGCAGUAGAAAGACCUAAUCAGACCUUUUCUUCCCUUGACAGUAUCUGCCCUGCCAGCCUGGGAGAUGAUCCAGCACUUCUGGCCAGUUGUGCAGGAAUGGCCCAAGGGCUGUGGGACAGCAUCUUGCUUCUGUUCCCAAUGCUUGUCCCACUUCUUUGUCCCAGAAGGGCUGUGUGGAAAAAUGGUUCUGGCUUGGUGAGCCUCCUUGCCCUGGAUUGACAUCAGCCCACAUUGCUUCAUGGCUGUCAGGUCUCAGACGUGGGCUGGAACUUGGCAAACAUUUUAGGUAUAGCUGUGGGUGCAGAGUCUACUGUUCUGUCCUGUGGGAAGCGUCCUGGACCAGGGACAUAAACAUAGAACAGGGUUCAGGUUUCCUUUUGCUGUAAUUGCUCAUGGGAUGUGCAUCUUCUGUCAGCUGUUAUCUUGCUGGCUAAAAGCAGUUGAUCCUUGUUAGGGUCAUUUGUUAUGAUGCUUAAAGUAAGAGAAAUAUGGAUUUCUACCUGGCACUACGUAAGCUGUGGAGUCAGCCUUUACCCCAGAGGACAGACAAUGCAUAGGAACCCCCAGGAGCAGUGCCAUCUGCUUUCCCAUGGUUGUACCUUUAGACUUAGGAGAUCUGCUGCUGUCUGGACUGGUUAUAAGUAUUGAUGCUUUCUUGCAUCUGUACAUGGACUCAAGAACAUUCAGCGUUAUACUACCAUACUGCCUGUCCCGGGGUGACUGCAGUGAUGCUCAGCGCUGACACCUCCUGCACCCCGCACAUCCGUCUCCUCUCCCCUGCCAGAGCCACCUCUCUGCUCGAGAGCAAGACAGGCACCUUCUUGCUCAUUGUGCAGGGCUUUCUCUCAUUUUAUUUCACCAGCUUUCUAAUUUAAGUCUCCUUGUUACUGUCUUGCUCCAGAACUACUUCUUUGGCAGGGCCAAGCGGGUGAGUCACGGCCAUGGGCUGUGAUCCUGUCUCCUGCUUUGGAUGCAGCACUGCUGCUGGGCUGGGCAACACAACCAGAGAGCUCCAGUGCCUCAGCAGGGACAAGUCCUGGGAGAAGGACAGGUCCCUGGAAGCAGGGGGAGUAAAUGAGAACGCUGAGAACAGAGCACCUAUUCUGGCAUGUGAGCCCAGAGUUCUUCCUCCUGCACUGCCUUCCAACCAGAGGGCUGUGAGCUUGCUGUGUAACCCCAGCAAACUGCUCCCAAAGGAAGGGCCACUCCUAGAAGCAAAACUGUGUGGGAGACACAUCUGUGCAGUGGCUCUCUCUAACAUGAGAAAGUCCUGGAAAAUUAAACCAGAUUGUAAACAGAGUUGUUCCUUAGGGGUGGGAUGGGUUUGGUAGAAUUUGUGCUGAUUCGGGGCAUCCUUUCAAUAAAACUCCUAAGUUUUGUUCAUUCUGCUGUUACCAAGUCUUGUACCAAGCCUGAUGAGCAGAAACACCCCCUCACCUGUACCGAGUCUCCUUUCUGUUCUUCUGUAGUGCAUCCUGCCCUGCCCAGGUGGGAGACAGCAUUAGGUUCUAGGUAGUAGCAUUGUAGAAUAGAACCAUUGACUCAUUAAAGUUGGAAGAGAUUGGUAAGGUCAU
Lagopus muta (rock ptarmigan) is the source of this 2965-nucleotide long non-coding RNA. RefSeq lists it as uncharacterized. The transcript is spliced from 3 exons. The record is from RefSeq and is a predicted model, not a curated record. NCBI's taxonomy places the organism in Eukaryota, Metazoa, Chordata, Aves, Galliformes, Phasianidae.